RNAcentral lists this ribosomal RNA (492 nucleotides) under uncultured bacterium. Its description in RNAcentral is "partial 16S ribosomal RNA". It matches the Rfam family "Bacterial small subunit ribosomal RNA", at positions 29 to 507 of the family's 1533-position model. The record is from RNAcentral.
AGUGAACGCUGGCGGUAGGCCUAACACAUGCAAGUCGAACGGCAGCACAGUAAGAGCUUGCUCUUACGGGUGGCGAGUGGCGGACGGGUGAGGAAUACAUCGGAAUCUACUUUUUCGUGGGGGAUAACGUAGGGAAACUUACGCUAAUACCGCAUACGACCUACGGGUGAAAGCAGGGGAUCUUCGGACCUUGCGCGAUUGAAUGAGCCGAUGUCGGAUUAGCUGGUUGGCGGGGUAAAGGCCCACCAAGGCGACGAUCCGUAGCUGGUCUGAGAGGAUGAUCAGCCACACUGGAACUGGGACACGGUCCAGACUGCGGCGGGAGGCAGCAGAGGGGAAUAUUGGACAAUAGGCGCAAGCCUGAUCCAGCCAUACCGCGUAGGUGAAGAAGGCCUUCGGGUUGUAAAGCCCUUAUGUUGAAAAAGAAAAGCAGCAGAUUAAUACCCCGCUGUUCUGACGGUACCCAAAGAAUAAGCACCGGCUAACUUCGUG